RNAcentral lists this ribosomal RNA (658 nucleotides) under uncultured Prochlorococcus sp. Its description in RNAcentral is "bacterial SSU rRNA". It matches the Rfam family "Bacterial small subunit ribosomal RNA", at positions 49 to 752 of the family's 1533-position model. The record is from RNAcentral. Lineage: Bacteria; Bacillati; Cyanobacteriota; Cyanophyceae; Synechococcales; Prochlorococcaceae.
UAACACAUGCAAGUCGAACGAACCUUCGGGUUAGUGGCGGACGGGUGAGUAACGCGUGGGAAUCUGCCCUCAGGAGGGGGAUAACGGUUGGAAACGACCGCUAAUACCCCAUAUGCCGAGAGGUGAAACGAAUUUCGCCUGAGGAUGAGCCCGCGUCUGAUUAGCUAGUUGGUGUGGUAAUGGCUCACCAAGGCUUCGAUCAGUAGCUGGUCUGAGAGGAUGAUCAGCCACACUGGGACUGAGACACGGCCCAGACUCCUACGGGAGGCAGCAGUGGGGAAUUUUCCGCAAUGGGCGAAAGCCUGACGGAGCAACGCCGCGUGAGGGAUGAAGGCCUCUGGGCUGUAAACCUCUUUUCUCAAGGAAGAAGAUCUGACGGUACUUGAGGAAUAAGCCACGGCUAAUUCCGUGCCAGCAGCCGCGGUAAUACGGGAGUGGCAAGCGUUAUCCGGAAUUAUUGGGCGUAAAGCGUCCGUAGGCGGCUUUUCAAGUCUGCUGUUAAAACGUGGAGCUUAACUCCAUCAAGGCAGUGGAAACUGAUUGGCUUGAGUGUGGUAGGGGCAGAGGGAAUUCCCGGUGUAGCGGUGAAAUGCGUANAUAUCGGGAAGAACACCAGUGGCGAAGGCGCUCUGCUGGGGCCAUAAACUGACGCUCAUGG